UCCAGACUCCUACGGGAGGCAGCAGUGAGGAAUAUUGGUCAAUGGCCGGAAGGCUGAACCAGCCAAGUCGCGUGAGGGAAUAAGGCCCUAUGGGUCGUAAACCUCUUUUGUCAGGGAGCAAAGGCGUCCACGAGUGGACGAAAGGAGAGUACCUGAAGAAAAAGCAUCGGCUAACUCCGUGCCAGCAGCCGCGGUAAUACGGAGGAUGCGAGCGUUAUCCGGAUUUAUUGGGUUUAAAGGGUGCGUAGGCGGACGCUUAAGUCAGCGGUAAAAUUGCGGGGCUCAACCUCGUCGAGCCGUUGAAACUGGGGGCCUUGAGUGGGCGAGAAGAAGGCGGAAUGCGUGGUGUAGCGGUGAAAUGCAUAGAUAUCACGCAGAACCCCGAUUGCGGAGGCAGCCUUCCGGCGCCCUACUGACGCUGAGACACGAAAGUGCGGGGAUCGAACAGGAUUAGAUACCCGUGUA
Molecule: ribosomal RNA, 465 nt
Filed under: uncultured bacterium
Lineage: Bacteria
Description: bacterial SSU rRNA
Rfam family: Bacterial small subunit ribosomal RNA
Source: RNAcentral